This 283-nucleotide ribosomal RNA is filed under the name uncultured bacterium. RNAcentral's name for it is "partial 16S ribosomal RNA". It matches the Rfam family "Bacterial small subunit ribosomal RNA", at positions 335 to 602 of the family's 1533-position model. The record is from RNAcentral.
ACUCCUACGGGAGGCAGCAGUGGGGAAUAUUGCACAAUGGGGAAGCCAUCGAUGCAGCCAUGCCGCGCUGUGUGAAGAAGGCCAAUUCGGGCUUUGGUUAAAGACACUUUCAGUAGGGAGGAAGGUAGUGUAGUUAACACCUGCACUAUUUGACGUUACCUACAGAAGAAGCACCGGCUAACUCCGUGCCAGCAGCCGCGGUAAUACGGAGGGUGCGAGCGUUAAUCGGAAUUACUGGGCGUAAAGCGCAUGCAGGCGGCCUGUUAAGUCAGAUGUGAAAGCC